Molecule: ribosomal RNA, 273 nt
Filed under: uncultured prokaryote
Description: partial 16S ribosomal RNA
Rfam family: Archaeal small subunit ribosomal RNA
Source: RNAcentral
GUGUCAGCAGCCGCGGUAAUACCGGCAGCUCGAGUGAUGACCGAUUUUAUUGGGCCUAAAGCGUCCGUAGCUGGCCGGACAAGUCCGUUGGGAAAUCUGCUCGCUUAACGAGCAGGCGUCCAGCGGAAACUGUUCGGCUUGGGACCGGAAGACCUGAGGGGUACGUCCGGGGUAGGAGUGAAAUCCUGUAAUCCUGGACGGACCAUCGGUGGCGCAAGCGCCUCAGGAGAACGGAUCCGACAGUGAGGGACGAAAGCUAGGGUCUCGAACCGG